CCUUCCAAAUAUGCAACAGCUACAAGGUGAUGAUCUGCUUGGCAACCAGGCACAUGGGAACAUGUUCAAAAGCCCUUAACAGGAAUCAUGCACUAAUUAAAAGAAAACAAGGAAAGCAAUGAAUGCUGCAAUGAUUUUACCCAUAGACUUGAGAAAAGACAGAUGAAGAUUCAUGGAAACUAUAUUUCUCAGGGCUACUACAAAGAGAAGAAGACAGUACAUAUUUAGCCAUCUUCUCAGAGAAAGACAAAACAUCAGUGGAAGCAAGACAUUUCAAUUAAUAAUACCAUUGUAAGCUGGGCUGUGACUCAGGUACACUUAUUCACCCAAACUUCCUGAGAAAGUAUGGAUCUUAAGACCAGACUAUGAUACAGAGCAUAAUCUCUUCUGCAAAAGCAUGAGGCCUGAUAGCUAAAGAACUGCUAACCCUAUACAUUGGAGCUACAGUAUGGGAAUAUUUCCUCCCUGGAGAGAAAGUCAUAAAAUGACCAAAGCCAAGAAGUUUCUUCUAUGAGCUACGUCAAGGAACUGAAGAAGGGUCAAAGCUGUGUGUCAUGCAGACAUGUCAAGUUGCUUCUCUGCCAGUGUGCCAGUGUACUUGAGGUGACAAAAGCAAACGGGCUUCCUUUACCACCAAGUUCAUUCAGAGAUGACUGUUGAAAUCUCUUCUGUCACUACACUUCCAAGGUGUUACGUCUUCUCUAGGCUCAGUCUCAAUGCCUGUGUAGACUGCAAGACAUGCUGAAGACAAGACACUUUUGUUUCGUUGUCCAAGGAAAAGAAUAUGAAUGAAAAGUUGCCGAUGGACAUCACUAAUGCACUAGUAUAGUGGAGUGGCUGACUUUCCAUUAGAUGACCCAUAGCAAAGUACCACCAGGCAAUGCUGCUCUCCAGGAAGGAGUGGAGGACAAGUUCUGGCAGUGAUUUACUCACUGGUGAUGACAACGAUUCUACCACGUCCAUAUUUGGUCCCAGCAAGGUGAAGAUUUCAGCCCAGAUCCACAGGAAGGAUUCAGACAGUACCAAGGCAGCCUGCAGCCAUUACCAACCAUGUCCUUGGCAUGGGAGCCAGGCUUAACUGCUGAGUAAUUGUAAGUGAUCGGAUGACUACUGGCAAUUGGAUUUUUCCUACAUUUAAACUGCUUGCACUCCCACUGACUUCCCUGUAUGCAAAGCUGGUGCUGAGACUGCAACACAUCUCACUCCUUGGGCCAUACCAACACUACUUUUGCUCAGCACAGUCAUUUUCCUCCAAGGAGCAGUUAACAUGGAGAACUAUGCAUUCUGCUCCUUUUGAGGAACUGUGAUUAAAACAUAUAUAAGCACUACAGACAAUCAAGUUAGCAAGACAGGCAUUUCCAUUUGUCCAUGUGCUGUAACUGCAGAGUAUAGUAACCCUUGAAUUAGCAUUUGCUUUGUUUUUUUCAUGAAUAAACUAAUUUUCAUUAAUAAACUCAGCUCAUCUAUCUGGAGUCCUGCAUUUGCAGAAAGCUGAGUGUAGAGAGAUAAAAGAUGUCAACACGUAUUGGAUCCUGAUCUCUUAACUUUGGGAAUGACUAUAAUGCAGUACCCAUGUAUGUACAAUGACACACAAUAAAUGCA
Molecule: long non-coding RNA, 1602 nt
Organism: Aquila chrysaetos chrysaetos
Lineage: Eukaryota; Metazoa; Chordata; Aves; Accipitriformes; Accipitridae
Exons: 7
Source: RefSeq, a predicted model, not a curated record